Molecule: long non-coding RNA, 16066 nt
Filed under: Phaseolus vulgaris (common bean)
Lineage: Eukaryota; Viridiplantae; Streptophyta; Magnoliopsida; Fabales; Fabaceae
Description: long non-coding RNA (PVUL_LNC002081)
Rfam family: tRNA (bases 11180-11252)
Source: RNAcentral
CUCUUACUAUUAUUCAAACUGAUAGAUCUGACAUAGUUGAUACUCACUCAAAUGAUAUUUAUAAUUCUCCAACCAGUUCUAAUGUGCAGGGUUUUGACAGUCCCACUUUUCAGGGUUAUGGUGAUUCUUGCUUUACACCUUCUCCAACUCAUCCAAGUAUUCCUUCUCCCUCACCAACCAACCAAUAAUUUUCAUCCUAUGAUUACUAAAGCCAAAGCUGGUGUGUUCAAACCAAAGAUUCCUACUACCAGUACUUCUUCGUAUGUUGAACAAUGUACUUUUCACGAUGCUCUCAACAAUCCAGAUUGGUACCGUGCCAUGCAACAUACAAUGUUGUUCUUGCCAAUAAUAUGGACCUUCACCAAUCUCCCAACUGGUGCGAGAAAGGUUGGCUAAAAAUGGCUUUUUAAGAACAGAUUUAAUGCAAAAUGGGAGUUUCUAGCGACACAAAGCCAGGCUUGUCACCAAAGACUUUCAUCAACCUCAAGAUUGAAAUACACUGAUACUUUUAGUCCGGUUGUUAAGCCUACUACCAUACAUGUUUUUCUCACCAAAGCUUUAUCAUCUCAAUGGCCAAUACAUCAAAUAGACAUCAACAAUGCCUUUCUAUGUGGUGAUUUGGAUGAAACUGUCUAUAUGCAGCAACCUCCAGGCUUUGUAUCCAAGGAUUCCACUCUUGUGUGCAAGCAAACAAAGGCUAUCUACGGGCUCAAACAAGCACCGCAUUCUUGGUUUCACAAGCUAAGUCAAACUCUUCCCUCUUUUGGCUUCACUCUUGCUAAAAGUGAUCCCUCUCUAUUUACUAUGUUUUCAAAUAGUUUUACUAUGUUUAUUCUCAUAUAUGUUGAUGAUAUUAUCAUCACCAGAAGUUCUUCUCAUGCCAUUGCAUCUCUCGUUAAAAAUUUUACAUCCACACUUUGCCUUGAAAGACUUGGGUUCCUUACAUUAUUUCCUUGGCAUUGAAACUUCUUGGAUCAGAGAUGGCAACAUUCACUUAUCCCAAACAAAAUACAUAAAAGAUAUUUUGCAUAAAGCCAACAUGCUUGGGUCUAAGUCACAACCAACAUCUAUGGUCUCUUUAUUAUGUUUAACUCAAUAUUGUACAACGGUUCUAGAUUCUUCUCUCUAUCAUUCAUUUGUUGAAUCUCUGCAAUACUUGACAAUCACACAUCUUGAUUUGGCUUACUCUAUCAACAAAGUUUGUCAAUACAUGCAUAAUCCGUAGGAACACUAUUGGAAGGCAGUUAAACAGAUUCUUUGAUACCUUGCUGCCACUCUCACUCACGAUCUUCUUCGCCGCUGCGCAAAGCUCUCUCUGGUUGGGUUCAAUGAUGCUGAUUGGGGGUGUGAUCUUGAUGAUAGAAAAUCUCCCACCAGUUACUGUGUAAUAUAUCUCAGUACAAAUCUUGUUUUGUGGUCCUUGCAUAAACAAAAGAUUGUCUCAAGAAGUAGCAUGAAAGCAGAAUAUCACCGCUCUUGCUGAAAUCAAAAGGAUUGAAUCUCUUGUGCGUGAACUUUGGAUCUCUCUCCUUAUAGUGAGAAAGGUAUUUGAAGCUUGUUUUCUCUUAUUACAUAUUUGGAGUCCUAGUAUAUAUAGAUUGGAAAGAUAUUUCAUGGACAAUUUCCUCCAUAUUCCUCAAGUUAUGUUAUUUCAACGGAUAAGCAAAACUAUUACAUACCAUCCUUGUAACUAACAUGAAUAAAAUAGCUAUCAACAAGCUAUGGGAUGUCUAGAUAGUUUAUUACUUUUCAAGUGGAAAACUAGAACAGAAUAGAUGAACAAACAAUGCUAAAGGAAAACGACCAUCUACAUACUAGACUAUGAACAUUACAAUGACAAGCUCACCAUGAUUAACAAAAGUCGAAGUUUGCUUCAAAUUUUGCUUUCCAUUGGAAAGGGAACUUCUGUGAGCCUUUUCACUGGAUCUUUUCACUUCAUCUGCAGGUUUAGAAUGCUUCAAAGUUUGUUUCCCAUUUGAAUGGGAACUUUCAGCACAGAACUCCAUCAUAUCCAAACUAAAUGACUAUUCCCCGCAGUAAUUAUACAGUAAAUAUUAAUACUUGUUUCCUUCAAAAGAUUAGAGGUACCUCCAAGCUUCCUUACAGUUAUUGCAGUUCAUGUCACAGGGUUUGAAAAGAACUGGUGCUCAUCUAUCAUGGUUGCUGCAUAAUGACGAACAACUAUCAAAGGAAAACUAUUGGCAAAGUGUAAUUUGUGUUUGUUGUACAACGCUAAUAAAACUGGAAAAAGAAAACAAAAAAUCAACAAGGUAAAGUAAAAAUGGAUAAAAUAGGAUGAAGUGUAAAUUUCACAAAUUGUUUACAACAACAUUCAUAAAUAUCUUCCUUCAACAGUAGUUUUCUUCAUGCAUUGCUUUAAAUUUGCACCAACACUCAUAAAACUUAUCUUCCCCCAAGCCUCAUUUUCUCUAAUUGGUUCCACAUUAUAUCUCUUCUAUAAUGUGGUAUCAAUUGCCUGAAGAUUAUGAUAAUUUGGGGUAUUAUCAAGGAAACCAAAUAAAUGGAGGUGACAAAACCUCUGCGUGAUAUGUUAUACAAGUUAUACAUUGCACAUAGUAAUGGUCUUUUCCUAUAAUGCAGAAAGUGAACGUUUCUGAGUUCUCAAUGACAAUUUAAUUAGUAGUUAUGCAAAAGUUAACACUGGAUUCCAAAAAAUGGUGUGUAACAAUUUUUAAACAAGCCAAUUCACCCUGUACCUGCUUUGUUUUCCAAUUUUGGCCAGUAAUUGAAAUGAAUAAAUGACAGAAUGUGCAGUCUCACAAGUUCAAAUAUAACAAAUAUGAACAUUCAAUUCAAGUUAUUUCAGAUACAUGAGCAUCAUUCCUGAAAUCCUAAAGUAAAACAACCUGAAAAUUACAGUCUCUUCGACCUGAUACCAUACAAAACUCGAUGCACGCUUUUCCUAAUAUUUCAACUUCAACUGGAAUACAACAAGUUUGGUACUCGGAUCCUGAUAAGUAACCCAAAAACUUGGAGAACCCACUUUCAGAAACUAACUGUUAGGGAGAACCAGGCACCUAAAUCCUUCACUGAGUAUCCUAUAUUACUCUAUGAAGGACUUAGGUAGCCCUUAAUACCCAAGUUCCUAUCAAACACAAUAUUAUGAAAUGAAAACUUUAUCCAUUAAUUCAAUUCACUUCCCUUCCAGAUCUGAAACAAAAUACAGUAGGUAAAGAACACAGCUAUGCUACUUCAAGAUCCCAAAUCUUCCUGACUUGAAACACCCAACAUUGUUUUUAUAUAAACAAAAAGGAAACAGAAAUUCAGACAAACCAAAGACCGUAUUUGAAUAAUACCCUGCAAAUCAAUAUUUUCAUACUGUAUACAGCUCAAGACUUGUGUCGGUUUCAAAUGUACAAUUAACACAGCACAGCUUCAUCAUGAAAGCAACAUAAACUGGCAAGCAUGCACGCGAAUAACACAAAUUCCAAAGCAAAUAACAAAAAAAGUAAGAGAUUCCCAAUAAUUCCAAGUAAGAGACAAAACCAAACAACAUUGUCCCUCAACGAGGAAUGCAUUUAGCAAAAGAAAAAAACUACACCAGAUCUGAAUAAAAAAAACAGCAUACGAAACACAAAACAAAACAAACAAACAAACAAACAAACAAAAAAACUGAACUUUUGUGCGAUAUCCUGAUAAAGAAAGGAACAGGGAAUACCCUUAUGGUGGUUUGAGUGACGGUAGGUGGUGGUGGCUGAGCAAAGAGAUUAAUUGUAGGAGAAUUAGAAGCUAAGAAUUUCAAGGUACGUUUUAGAAACGUUGGUCUCGGAGUUUAAAAGCAUUUAGCCACAACAAUUAACAGAAGAACAUGCAUUUUCUCCAUUCUCUACGUUUUCAAUUUCUGCUUGUGGACAUGUGUCUGUGGCGACCUGCCACCACUUUUUUAUUUAUUUAUUAAUAAAAGUUUUCGGUAUUUUAAUUUAUAUUUCAGUUAAGCUAACACAUAAAAUAAUCAAUUAUUUAUUAUUAUAUAAAAAAAUAUUAUUCAAAAAUAAUAAAAAAUAUAUAAAAGGAUUAAUUCAUAUGUUAAAAUUCUAAGUAGAUUACAUUUAUUUAUAAAAGAUUUAAGAAUGAACUAAAUAAAAGUCUAUUAUACCAAUAAAAUAUAAUUUUUAUAAAUAAAUUUUAAAUUAAUAAGCAUUUCACCAAUUAUUUUUAACUAUUACUAUUAUUUAUGAUAAACUUGCAGAGGUAAAGAUUUAUUUUAUACCACAUACAAUAAAAACAUAUUCUUAAUACAACAUUAUAAUAAUAUUAUAAUAUUUAAAACUGAAAAACAAAUUAAAUAUAAUUAAAAUGUUAUUUUAUUGAUGUGUGAAAUAUAUGUUUUCUAUUGUGGUGUUUAUAUCACCACCUCUCCCAAAUUUUUUCUUAACACUGAAUUUAUGAUGAUUUCUCACAAUGUUAAAAUGAAAAGUCUUUUCUUUUGCAUUAAUAAUUUUAUUGCAUGUUUUAUUGUUUUUCUUAUUUCUCUCCUAAAUUGCAAAAAAUGUUAUAGAUAAUUAGAAUUAUCCCUUUACAAGAACUUUUGUUUUCACUUGGAAGAGUUUGGAUAAACUGUUGCUGUUUAUUAUUUGUACAGGUGUAAUAGCAAUAUGACUGGAAUACCCCUCCACCAACCAUUCAUGACAUGAAGGUGGACCAGAAUUGAAAAAGCAUUUGAGAGGCUUUUAGUCAUUUGAGGUCAUAACAAUGACGCAACAACUUCAGCUCCUAAGAACCACACACGAUUCCUCUUGUUACGUAUCUAAAGUAAAAUAAAUAUAAUGGAAAUUAUAAUAAACUAUUCCUUUUACGAGUGUUAUACCCGAUUGGUUUUUAUGUUUAUUGAGAAUUAUAGUCAUAGUUAAUUACAUCGUCUUGUUGGUAGAAAAUAGUUUUAAAGUAUAAUUAUAUAACUAAAUUGAUAUUUAAAUAUUUAUUAUUAGAGUAAAAAAUGUAUAUAAAUAAAAUCAUCUUUUUAAAACUAUUAUAUUUUUUUGUCUUUUCUUUAAGAUUCUAACCACCUUUUUCAUUUGAAUGACUAAGAGGUUAUUUUUAUAUUUUUGACGGUGAAGAAAGUAAUAUUGUUCUAUCAAAAUUUUAGUUAGAUUAUGUUCAUUUUUGCUCUCUUUUUUUUUAGUGAAUUUUGAGUUUUAGUGUUUACCUGAGCAUAUAUGGUUGCAUGUGAUGUUUAAAAUUUCACUUGUUAGUUCAGAGUCUCAUGAUAUAUGCUUGAAUCAUUGAUAAAGACUUUGUGGUACAAGUUUAGGAUUAGUUCUUGUUAGUUCAAAGUUCCAGUGAUAUGCUUGAAUCAUGACCAGGACUAUGUGGUGUAGGUUAAGUUAUCCCAAGAGUUGGAACUCUUUAUAAGCACACUAUCCCGACCAGUCCUCGAUCAUCGAUUCCAAUGACUGACCUCAAACAUCGCACACCGGUGCCUGAUAGUGGAAAGGGGCCAAGUACGAUGGACCCCAUAUGCACCUAUCAGAGGAUUGGUGAGUCUUCAAACAUCAGUACUAUAGACCCCGAUGUUGGAGAUCGACAUCGGCCCUCGCCAACAGAAGGAGAGAUCGGACAUCGGCAGUCUAAACGUUAUGAUGGGCCAUGAGAGGUGGGUCCCAGAAUUAUGCUAAGUUAACAGUUAAGGCAUUAGAUAUGUGGGAAACCUAAGUCACGAACAAUCCAUGCACGUGGUGUGUAUAGCGCAUGCAAACGCGACCUGAGUGAAUAAUCCUGGGAAGCGCUAAGGCACAUUAGGGUUAGGGUUUCUAGGGAAAGUUGCAUGCAUGACAUGUGAAUACUUAGGGCACCCACAAAGCAGAUGGCGCUAGAUAUUAGGUGUACAAGUUGGUACCUAGGCGGCCACUCUGUUAUUCGUUGCACUCCAGUUAAGGGAAGUCCAUGUGCCAGAUAUGCUAAGAUUACGUAAAUAGUGGCGCAAUAACGUUCCCCAAGGAGCCCUAGACAAGGGUAACAACACAAAGGUAAACCCUAGUCUCAACCUAUAUAAAGGGUGUCAAGAACCCUAGCAAGGUACACAGUUUCUAAGACUGAAACUACUUUAUACACUUGGUAUUUCUUUGUCUUUAUACUGACUUGAGCGUCGGAGUGCAAACGACCGUCAAGGCGCCCUUUGUCUUUGCAGAUGAGAUAUUUCUUGAUUAAGGAAGUACGAUUCUUAGGCGGAGAUAGAAGGGUCGAAGGUUGUCGUUAGAAGCAACUGAUGCAGUGAGUCAACCGGCGGGAACACACCUACUUUUAAUUAGUAAGGGAAAUUAAUUUUGUUUUUCAAUAGAACCUUUGGUAGAAAUCUGGAUGUGAAUGUGACAUGGUUACCAACUUUCGAAUUUUCUUGCAAUGAUGUUUUGAGUGAAUUAGUAGUCUUGAUUUAGAUUGAAUGUCAGAGCAUAGAUAUGUUAAAUUUUGUUAAUUUGGUAAAUUACAUGUUGAUAAUGAAUGAACAAGCAAUUGAAAGUGUUUAAAUUGUAUUAUGAAUCAUUUAAAGUAUAAAGACUAAUGAGUGUUGAUUGUUUGAAUCCGAAUGUUUAAUUUGAAUGAAUUUGAUUUAAAGAUCAUGCAUUUAUAGAUAUAUAGGUUGACACGCUGAAUCAGAGUACUUGUACAACUUUUAGUAAGGUGGUAUUAAUUUUGGUUUGAUAUGUUUUGUGAAAAUAUAGAUUUGAUAUUGAAUUUUUGAGAGAAAGCUUAAAGAUAUCAAUUUUAUGAAAGUUUAGCUUGUAAUUUUUGCUCAAGCGAUGAUUUUUCGCUCAAGUUAGAAUAAGGCAUAAUUGUAUUUUCACUCAAACGAGCGAAUUCUCACUCAAACAAAAAUGGGAAAAAAUAUAUUGAUCCCACGUCUAUUUUCACUCAAGCAAAAGGAUUAUCAAUCAAACAAAAAUAACACUGGAACUAAACUUAUUCUCGAUCUCAAUUUUUGCUUAAGCGACAAGAUUUUUGCUCAAACGAUGUCUAUUUUCGCUUAAGCUAAGCAAAACUUAAACUUUUGAAAUUUAGUUAUGAAAUGCUGUUUUAUAAUUGUUUAUUAUUUUAAUUAAAGUUUAUGUAAAUUUUAUUUAUAUAAGUAAUUGAAAAUAAUUAGUUGCUUAAUUAUGUAAUUUCUAGUAAUCUGGGUAGAGAACCGUAACAUAUUAAUUACAAGACUUUUUUUAUAACUCAUUAAACGAUAAAAUAAAGAUUUGAAAAGGAUCCAAUUUGAAUAACACAUUAAAUAAUGGUUGAAAAUGAAAUACAAUUUAUCAUAAAAAUCAAAACUUUUCAAUGAUCCAUCAAACGCAUUAAAUAGCUUCCUUUAUAAGAGAAUUAAUGAUUUGACAAAAGACUAGGAAAAUGUCUUACAACAAUUAAUUUUAGAUAACAAAAUAUACUUUUUUUUUAUACUUUGUCUCCAACACCAAAUGCUAAUAUUUAAAAACUAACAAUAAUAAACAUAAUAAACUAAUGCAUGUUUUCAAAUACUUUUUAAUAGUAAAAGCAACUUUGAUUAACUUUUAGAUAUUUUUCUUUAAUUCAAAAAAUGAAUUUCCGUUGCCGGGACUUGAACCCGGGUCUCUCGGGUGAGAGCCGAGUAUCCUGACCAACUAGACUACAACGGAAGGCAUACUACAUUUGAAUAACGAAUAUAUAAGAAAAUUACCAAAUUUAAACAAUUUACUUAAGACACAUAUUCUUCUUUUUUUUUCCUCUACAAAUUUGAGUAUACUUUGAUACAUUCUCUCAAUCAGACAUUUAAAUAAAAGUAAGUUAGAUAUUCGACUUUUUCUUCCUACACCCCAUUGGUACUAAUUGCACUUUUGAUACAAAAUAAAAAGAUUAAAAAUACUUAUUUUGUAAAUAAGUUUUAGAAAUUUUGUUCCAAAAAACUUGUUUUGAAAAAAUUGUUUAAGAACAUUUUAUGUUUUCGAAAACUUGUUUUGGAAAGCUCAUUCCAAAAAACUUAUUAUAGAAAACUCAUUUAGAAAAUAUCAUAUUUUUUUAAAAAAAAAAACUUAUUCUAGAAAUUUUGUUCUGAAAAACUUAUAAAAAUCAUGUUCUAGAAAUCCUAUUCCAAAAAUUUUGUCAUAGAAAUCCUCUUUUGGAAAUCAUGUUUUGAAAAUUUAAAAAAGCUUUUUCUAAAAUACUUUUAAAUCUGAAGUCACUUUUACAAAAGGUAAAAUGCUCAUUUAAAAAACUUAAAAGGGUGCAGCUAGAAAUUAUAGGAGUAGGAAGAAAAAGCGUUGAUCUUUUUACUGGUAUUGCAUACUGUGGGAAGAAAUAUGUUAGUGGGUUUCAAUAGUGAUUGAUUCAUCUUCGCGCUUAUUGGGCUGAACCUUGAUAAUAUACUUCGGGAAAUUACUUCCUGAAGCAUAUCUGCACCCAAUUUCAGUAUGAAAAAGACGAAAAUACCCUUAAAUAAAUAGAAUUAUACAUUACAGAUCCUCUUUUUCAAAAUGUUUCAGAUUUUUUUUUUCAAAACGAAUUUUAUCUAUUACAAUUUUUUUUAUCCGGUGAGAUUUUGAAUUUUGAAUUCCAGAUAUAUCUUUUUGGAAUGUAUUAUUUUUAAUUCUAAAUUUUUAUUUGGCAUUUUGAGAAAUAAAAAGUUAUGUUUGGUGCAGAUUAAGAAUGAUUGGGUCUAGGAAGAACUUGCAUGUACUUCGAGAAGAAGAUAGUUUCUUGUGCAAAAAUUAGGAUUAUAAGCUUUUUUUUUUGGUAAUGACUAUAAUUUAAAUAAAUGGUCAUGUAAUUUGAACAAACAAAUUAUUAUGGAGGAGAAUAAUAAAUGUAGGGACCUACGAAGGAUAAUUAAUCUUUUAUACAAUUGCUCAUAUCACUUCAAUAAAUCAAAGUCAUCUUUUGUAUACUUUUCAAUUUAGUUUAUAGUGAAAUGACAUCUACAUUAUUAUGGAGGAGAAUAAUAAAUAUAGGGACCUACGAAGGAUAAUUAAUCUUUUAUACAAUUACUCAUAUCACUUCAAUAAAUCAAAGUAAUCUUUUGUAUGCUUUUCAAUUUAGUUUAUAGAGAAAUGACAUCAACAUUAUUAUUAUAAAUUUAUAAAUAAUUAGUAGUUAAAAAUCAAUUUAAAAAUUAUUUAAUAUAAUAAAAAUUAAUUUAGAAACUAAAAUUUAUUUUAAAUUUUAAAAUAAUUUUACUAUAACAACUAAUUAUUUUUUUUAUAAUUAAUUUUUAUUGAAUGAUUUUUUUUAAUGUUGGAUUAAGAGAUUUAUUUAGUUUUAAUUUAAUUGUUUUUAAGGAGUAAACAAAUGUAAUACACUUUCGCGAAGAGUUGAAAAAGGUAUUAAGCCCAAAUCAUUGUAUGAGUAUUAUAAAAUAUUUUUUGAUGUCACAGGAAGUAAAACAAAUAUAUAUUGGCACGCUUAUUUUUAUAUUAUGAUUUUUUGGUUUUUCUAUUUUUGAAAAAUAAUAUUUGUGGUGUAACAUUCCUUUUUCAAUUUAAAAAGAAUCACAAUGGUGAUCUAAUAUUCAACUUUGCAUAUUGAAUCUUAGUCUUACAUAUUCCUUUAUGAUAUAUAUAUAUAUAUAUAUAUAUAUAUAUAUAUAUAUAUACUUUUGCACCACCAAACUCACACUAUAACAUGGCUUACGGUUUAAAACAAUGAAUAUUAGAUCUCUUACUAUAUUUAAGAACUUAGAUUUCCAUUAUGUUAAACUUUGCAUCCUCUCAUGAAUUUUAGAUCUACUUAAGCAAAUUAAAAAUUAAAAACACUUGGAGUUCUAUACUUAAACAAAUUCCAUCAUGUUGAUAUUAAUCACAUUUUAGUUUCGCUAUUUGCAGUUUACCUAUUUUUUUUAUAUUUUUGUUGGACAUAUUAAAGAACUUGAUUUGAAGAGUUAUUGAUUGAUUUCAUAUAAAACUUCGUUUAAUUAUCUAAUUUAAUUUUGAUAUUUAUAUUUAUUAAUUUUAUACAUAAUUAUAUUUUUUAAAUAAUGUAGAGAAAAUUUUCAAUAUGUUUACCAGAUCAACAAGAAAGAAUUUUGAAAUGCAAAGUGUUAUAAUCAUAAAAAAUAAUUUAAAAAGACUCGACAAAAGAAGAGUAAACUAAAUUAGAUUGAAGAUAGAACAUGCAAUAUAUUAUGUUACUGUUUAAGGAAUUCAAAAAGAAAAAGUUAUGAUUGGAAAAAACAAAUCAAGCCUUUGACUCUGAGGUUUUGGAGUUUUGUACAUAUUUUGCUGAAUUUCAGGAACCGUGUAAGAACAUAUAGAAAAACAUAUAGAAUCACCAACUGCAAGAACAUAUAGAAAAACAGAUUAAUUUGAAAGAGAUUGAUGAAUUUGAAGUGAAGGUUAAUGUAAUAUAAAUAUCACUUUCAAAUUUAUUUGGGUAAGAUGUAAAUAAAUCUUAUUUGUAGGUGAAACAUUGAAGAGUAACUGAUAUUUUUAUAACUUCACUUCAUUCAGUAAAACAUAUUUUUCUAGCUUUGAAUUUAAUUACAACAUGUCACUGUUGAUUUUAAAUUGUAAAACUAAGUCAUUUUAGUAUGAUAAAAGUAUAUAUAAGAAUUGAAGUACAUAGUGAGAACUAAAUAGUGGACAAAUAAUGAAAAUGUGUGAAAAGAAGAAGGAAAUACACUUUUCUGUAUACAGUAAUAUAUAAAUAAUAAAAUAAUGACUACUCAUAUUUUAAAUUUGCAAUGAAUAAUUUAAAUUAUAGUAAAAAUAAAAUUUUAAUUAAUAAUAAUUAUUUUAAAGAAUGAAUAUUAAGUAGACAAAUAAUAUUUUGAAGUAGAUUAUUAUUAUUAUUUAAAGAUUGAUAUAGUGAUUAUAGGAAGUAGAUAAUAUUCUGAAGUAAAUUAUUAUUAUUUAAAGAUUAAUACGGUGAUUAUAUUUUACCAUUUAAAUAUUUGAUCACACUAAAUCAUAUUUUUAAUAAUAUAUUAGUUAUAUACUUAAUCACAAAAUUGAUUUUUACAUCUUUUUUUGUCUAUAUAUUUGAUUAUUAAAUUAAUCUUUAUAAUAAUAGAUCAUUAAAUAAUGAUAAUUAACUUAAUUUCUAUCAUCAGUCACUAAAAUUUAAAUUAGUUUCUAAUCAGUGAGUAAUUUUACCAUUUUAAAACUAUUAAGAAAAUGUGUUAUACAAAUGACCUUAGAGGAGAUGAGUAUAUUUUUCUUAAUAAAAGAAAAAACAAUAUAUAGUUAUAAAAUUAGAGUAAUUUCAACAAUCCGUUGUAGUCUAGUUGGUUAGGAUACUCGGCUCUCACCCGAGAGACCCGGGUUCAAGUCCCGGCAACGGAACUUUUUAAUUUUUUUAUAUUCCGUGGACACACACCAUUUUCCAUUUUCACAGUUCUCGUAAACACUCCAUCAGCAACUAAAAUUCACCAAACAUUGCAGAUAACUCUUAACAUGAUAUGAUCUGUUUUCAUUCAUAAAGAUCUUAUUAUAGAUAGUGCACACGUACACAUAUAUAUCUUCACAACUAUAGUACAUAUGAAAGUUCUAGUUAUAGGAAGCAUAAUGCAGAAGUAGGUAGCUAAUAGGAAGCAUAAUUGUGUGAAGCUGUUUGUGUUUGAGUCACCAUUGCAGUAGAAACCAUUGUGUUCAUUCCACACAUGCCAUGCCCUCGGCAGAGCUUGUAAUACCCAUCUACUCCCCAUCUCUUUCCCCACGAAUUCUUGAUGAUCCAGUAUGGUUUGUUGCCAAGUCUCAGAAUUGAGAAGCCUUUUGCUCUAUAACCCACAAGCAACACACCAUGGUUCAGCCAUUUCUUGCUGCAUAUGAGAGGGCACGAGACACCCCCAAUGUAUGUUUGCAUGAAAAUUGCGUUCAGACCAACUACACAUUAAAGUCCAUGAAUGUUAAGACAUACAGAUACUACUAACAUUAAACAUUAAGGAUUGUUUUAUUAAGGGGACUUACCAGCAAGUGGACCGUGUUUGACUAAAUAUGCAGCAAUUUGGUUUUCAUCCACAGGAAUGUUGGUGAAAUUUGUGAUCCUAACUGCUACUUUCCCUGGAUCAAACUUGCAUUCACCUUUCGCCCCUGUGUAGGGGUAUGAAGACUCCUCCUCCAACCCACCAGACUGCAGCAAAUACUUGUAGGCAUUUGUCAUAAGACCUCCCAUACAGCCAUUGUCACAUGUGGUGCUUUCUGUUAUGUCACACUAUGAAAAAGAAAUUGAAGAAAAAAUCAUCACCCAUUAAGAAAAAGGCAAUAAAGAAAAACCCCACCCAGUUAAGAAAUGAAUCGAGAUGCAUAAAAUUUGUGACAUUUAUUUAUGUGCAUUUAAAAACAAUGAAGAAAGCAAGUUACAUGGAGAUAUGCAUCUAACAAUAAUCCUUGAACAGAGAUGUUUUUAAUAUAGUACCUGGCUGUCACAGUCUACGAGCUGUUGUUCACUGAGAUUGAGGAGCUUUCCGGUGGCAAUAAAAUUGGCUCCUUCUAUAGAUCCUGUGGUGCUGAAAGCCCAGCAUGAUCCACAUUUACCCUGUUUUCAUAUUAUGCACAAAGUAUGCCAUUACUCUAAGAAGACAGAUGAAUUAAGUCUUCACAUCACUAAUUAGCUAAGGAAAAUAAUUUCUUUCUUCUUCAAUUUUAUUUUUAUAAUUUUAAUUUUUUUUCAUAUACCUUCCUUAUUUAUUAGGUGCGAGACAUGCAGUACCAAGUAUCAUUGUCAAAUUAAAAAAACUGAAACAAGAAAUUAUGAGGUGGAAUUUAAUUUUUCUCCCCAUACAUUUUUUACUAUCAAUGUAAUUUUUGAAUAGUGAUAUUGUUACUAAUUGUUGAUAGCUGGAAUCAGUUAGCUAAUAAUAAAAUAAAAAUAAUAUUAAAUACUUCUAAUAAUUAGUUAGUAGUGUGAAAAAAAAUAUACCACUUCAAAAAAUCAUAAUACUCAUGAAUUGUAGUUGGUUGAAAAUGUAAUUAUUUUCAUAGAAAUUAAACCUAAACUUAUCAUACAUAUAUACCUGCAUCUUAACUUCGGUGACAGCCCCUUUUUCUCGCCAAUCGAAAUCCUCCGGCAGUCCAUCCACCUUCAACGGCGGUGCCACAUCUCUGACGCCAUUGUUCCACGGGAAGCCGCCAUUGACACCGGUGUAGUGCCGUUGAAACUCGUCCUCGGUUAGAUCGGAGAACUGCGUGACGCCAUGGAUGGCGGUGGGGUCGAGCGCCUGGUUCUCCGCCGCUCUCAGCAUGUUUCCGGCGAAAAUCUCCAAACGCUGUAAAUACUCUUCCCUGGUGGAGUACUUCUUCCCGUAGUUCUCCAUGAAGACAUUGAACUUCUUCUCCGUUCGCAGAAGUUGGUUGUCCUGGAGCUUCAACUUUUUGGCUAUGUCGUGAACCGUGGUUUGGCGAGCAGAGGAUAGGGUUAGAGCGAAGAGAACGAGUGAAAUACGUGCGAAGCACGUGAGGGCAUGACCUCGCUUUGCCACCAUGUUCGUGCGUGCUUCCUCUACCUGCUCUGCUACUAACUUCGUUUUUCUUCUUCUUCUUCUUCUGCGUUUUAUGGGGUUUUCUUCGUGAAUGUUGUAAUUACAGUUAUAGCCUUGGAAGGGUGGUGCUGGAGAGCACAUGAGGGUGUAGUGCAGGGGUAGGAGUGUGAACUUCAAGCGCAUGGAAAGGUGGCAGCAUGCAGCGGUGAGGCUCAACAUGCAACGUGACACGUGGGUAGGGCUCAGAGUCUUAAACUUUGAGUAAGACCAAAAAUAAUAUUUUCCUUUACUUCAUCUUUUAUCAAAAAUAAUAUUGAUAAUUUAAUCAAUUUAUUAAUAAAAAAAAUAUAGUCGAAGUAGAAAUUAAUUAAAUUAUAUUAAACUAAGCACUAUAAAGUGAAGUGAAUGGUUUAUAUCCUAGAGAUACUCUUGAAAUAUUUUAAUAAAUGAACCUUUGUCUUCGGAUUUUGUUUUAAAAAUAAAUCUUUAUUCAUAAAAAUAGUUAAAUUAGAUUUUUUUUUCUCUUUUAAUAAAGUUUCACGUAUGGACUAAUAAUGUUUAUGAUUUGAUUUCUCUUAAUAACGUUGGUCUACGAACCUACAUCAUAAUGGUCAAGGAAAGCAAUUAUAAUGUAGUGAAUUUUGUAGAUGCCUUCGAAGAUUUUAUAUGGUACACAUACUUGAUGACGUACUUUAGUUCAACAUACAUGGUGUCAGACAUGAGACAAUUGACUAGGAAUAGAACUCCCGAAUCAAAACUUUGUUCAAUCAAUUAGGUUCAAUCUUGAGGGCACACAAAGGUCACAAUCAAUUAGGUUAAAGCUUGAGGGCACACAAAGGUCACUAGAACAGAGAAAGGUCACUAAAACCGAUUGGGCCAAAAACGCACGCAAACAAGAAGUUUGUUGUCAAGGGAAAUUGGUUUUACGUGAGACUUUGUUCUUAUGUAGUAAAAAACCUCUUUAUUAAAACUAUAUUAAGAUUUAUAAAUCUUAUUCUUAUUCAUUAACUCGUUCAUAACUUAAACUUAACAAAUUUUUAAAUUCGAAUAAAUGUGUCAGAAGAAGCACAUUAGAUAAAAUUAUUACACUCAGGACAGGAUUCCAACGUCAAUCACGGAGAUUUUGUUCACGUGAAGAAAUCUCUGGAUAUAUAUAUAUAUAUAUAUAUAUAUAUAUAUAUAUAUAUUUUAUUUUAUUUUUAGGACGAAAACAUGAGAUACUUAAUUGGAAGGAAAGAAAGAAGGAAUCAAUUUUCCCCUCACCAAAAUGUUAACAUAUCAUAAGUAUUAUUUUAUGUUUAUUCCAAGUUGAGAUUUUUUUCUUAAAAUAUGCUUCUGAAAUCAAAUGAUUAAUAGUAUCACAUAUAAUAAUGCGUGAUAAUGAAUUAUUAACAACAAAGAACUGAAGGUAAAUUAUUAAUUUAUGACGACUAUAAAUGUGAGAAGGAAUAAUUUAUUGGUGAUGAGGUUGAUAAAGAGGACUUUGAAAAUUACAACAGAUGCAGACAAGUGCAGACACAUGUAUAACACAGUGCCUUACAACUGUCUAAUAAUAGAACAAAAGCAUAAUAACUAUUGAACUAAACACAGUUCUCUAAACAAUUGAUAAACAUUUAUACUUCUUCGUGGAUCUGCAAGCAAAGUGCACCUUCCCCUUCAUGGCUUUCACUUUCACUUCCACACUUUCUGCAUAGAUCCUACACAAAACACGUAUACAGUCUGUCAGUUCACGUUACCCCUUACUAAAAUACGCUAAGAAAAGGAUUUCACAUAUUCAACCCUAAGAGAAUGUUUCAUAAGAUAAAUCUUUGUUUGAAAUGAAAGAUAUUUACGCAACAAUAAAAAAGAGAACGAAAAUGGGUAAGAGGAAACGUUGGAAUUUGUAAUGAGGUGUGCAGGGAGGAUUUUAUUACCAUGUGGUGUGAUGCAAGGGUGGUAUCUAGUAGUGGUAAGGAGGAGGAGGAGGAGGGGAUUUGUAGUAGUAGUGGGGUGGAGGUGGUGAAGGGACUGGAGGAGGAGGAGACUUGUACUUAUAAGGCUUCUUGUGAGGUGAUGGUGGAGGAGAGUGGUAAACUGGGGUGGGGACAUGGGGAGGGUAGGUGGGAACUGGUGGCGGUGGGGAGUGGUAGACUGGGUGGGGGUGAGGGUAGCGGUGCCUGUGCACUGGUGGAGGAGGGGAAGAGUAUUUGUAUGACUUCUUAGGAGGGGGUGGAGGAGAGUGGUAAACUGGGUGUGGGUGAGGGUAAGGCUUGUGCACUGGUGGUGGGGGAGAUGGGUAUUUGUAUGGCUUCUUUGGUGGUGGAGGUGGUGGGGAGUGGUAGAUUGGGUGAGGGUGAGGGUGAGGGUGUGGGUGAGGGUAAUGGUGAGGAGGGGGUGGAGGAGAUUGGUAGACUGGGUGUGGAUGAGGGUAGGGCUUGUGCACUGGUGGUGGUGGAGAUUGGUAGACUGGGUGUGGAUGAGGGUAGGGCUUGUGCACUGGUGGUGGUGGAGAUGGGUAGUGGUAGGGAGGUGGUGGUGAGGAGACUGGUGGAGGUGGAGGAGAGGAGUAGGAGUAGUGGUUGCCGGAGAUUUGAGAUGGGAGGCUGAAAAGGAUAAUGGCAAAUGCAAGAGUGAUAGAAGCAGAGGCCAUUAGGGACCCCAUUUUCCUCCAACUGAGUUUUGGUUAUGCUCUAAAGUGAG